This 1185-nucleotide ribosomal RNA is filed under the name metagenome. RNAcentral's name for it is "SSU rRNA". It matches the Rfam family "Eukaryotic small subunit ribosomal RNA", at positions 471 to 1786 of the family's 1831-position model. The record is from RNAcentral.
CAAGAAAUAACAACAACGGGCUUUGUCUCGUUGAUUGGAAUGAGCACAAUGUAAAAGUCUUAGCUAGGACCCACUGGAGGGCAAGUCUGGUGCCAGCAGCCGCGGUAAUUCCAGCUCCAGUAGCGUAUAUUAAAGUUGUUGCAGUUAAAAAGCUCGUAGUUGGACUUCCACUCCUUUCGGAGCAGCCUGGCAACUCUGCAUGUCCUUAAACGGAUGGCAGAGACCUGCGGGCCCUUUACCUUGAGAAAACUAGAGUGUUUAAGGCAGGCCACGCCUGAAUACUGCAGCUGGGAAUAAUGAAUCACGACUGUCUUGGCGAGGCAGCUCUACACAUUUAAUAGGGACAGUUGGGGGCAUUCGUACUCAGCAGUCAGAGGUGAAAUUCUUGGAUUUGCUGAAGACGGACUAGUGCGAAAGCAUUUGCCAAGGAUGUUUUCAUUAAUCAAGAACGAAAGUUAAGGGAUCAAAGACGAUCAGAUACCGUCCUAGUCUUAACCAUAAACGAUGCCGACUAGGGAUUGGGAGGAGCGUACAAAUCCUCUCAGCACCUUACGAGAAAUCAAAGUCUUUGGGUUCUGGGGGGAGUAUGGUCGCAAGACUGAAACUUAAAGGAAUUGACGGAAGGGCACCACAAGGAGUGGAGCCUGCGGCUUAAUUUGACACAACACGGGGAAACUUACCAGGUCCAGACAUAGUCAGGAUUGACAGAUUGAGAGCUCUUUCUUGAUCCUAUGGGUGGUGGUGCAUGGCCGUUCCUAGUUGGUGGAGUGAUCUGUCUGGUUAAUUCCGAUAACGAACGAGACCUCAACCUGCUAAAUAGUUCUACCCUCAGCAGGGUACAACUUCUUAGAGGGACUUCCAAGGCUACUUGGAGGAAGUGUGAGGCAAUAACAGGUCUGUGAUGCCCUUAGAUGUCCUGGGCCGCACGCGCGCUACACUGACGCAGGCAUCGAGUUCCUUGGCUGACAAGCCUAGGCAACCUCCAAACUGCGUCGUAGUUGGGAUUGACCCUUGCAAUUCUUGGUCAUGAACCAGGAAUUCCUAGUAAGCGCAAGUCAUCAGCUUGCACUGAUUAAGUCCCUGCCCUUUGUACACACCGCCCGUCGCUCCUACCGAUUCCGAGUGAUGAGGUGAAUUUCUCGGACAAAGGAAGUUAAGUGAACCUUAUCACUUAGAGGAAGGAGA